GGAGUCUAGCAUGUGCGCGAGUCAUUGGGACAUGACUAAACCUAAAGGCGCAAUAAAAGUGAAGGUCCGCCUUGCGCGGACCUAGGGAGGAUGGGCGGCCGUUGCGGCUGUCGCCCCGCACUCCCGGGGCGUCUCGUUCUCAUUGCGAGAAGAGGCGCACCAAGAGCGUACACGCUGGGACCCGAAAGAUGGUGAACUAUGCCUGGUCAGGACGAAGUCAGGGGAAACCCUGAUGGAGGUCCGUAGCGAUUCUGACGUGCAAAUCGAUCGUCGGAACUGGGUAUAGGGGCGAAAGACUAAUCGAACCAUCUAGUAGCUGGUUCCCUCCGAAGUUUCCCUCAGGAUAGCUGGCGCUCGUAGCGCACGAGUUUCAUCCGGUAAAGCGAAUGAUUAGAGGCAUUGGGGUCGAAACGGCCUCAACCUAUUCUCAAACUUUAAAUGGGUGAGAUCUCCGGCUUGCUCGAACUACUGAAGCCGCGAGACUCGAAUCAGAGUGCCAAGUGGGCCAUUUUUGGUAAGCAGAACUGGCGCUGUGGGAUGAACCAAACGCCGAGUUAAAGCGCCUAAAUCGACGCUUAUGGGAUACCAUGAAAGGCGUUGGUAACUUAAGACAUCAGGACGGUGGCCAUGGAAGUC
This 636-nucleotide ribosomal RNA is filed under the name nr. Dimorphochilus sp. COL1556. Its description in RNAcentral is "eukaryotic LSU rRNA". It matches the Rfam family "Eukaryotic large subunit ribosomal RNA", at positions 670 to 1262 of the family's 3401-position model. Lineage: Eukaryota; Metazoa; Arthropoda; Insecta; Coleoptera; Tenebrionidae. The record is from RNAcentral.